AGCGAACGUUAGCGGCGGGCCUAACACAUGCAAGUCGUACGAGAACGCUCCUUCGGGAGUUAUUAAAGUGGCGCACGGGUGAGGAACGCGUAGGUAAUCUACCCUCAGGCGGGGGACAACACUCCGAAAGGAAUGCUAAUACCGCGUAAGACCACACUUACUAAGGUGAGAGUGGUAAAAGAUGGCCUCUUCUUGAAAGCUAUCACCAGAGGAUGAGCCUGCGUCCCAUCAGCUUGUUGGUAAGGUAACGGCUUACCAAGGCGAAGACGGGUAGCUGGUCUGAGAGGAUGAUCAGCCACACUGGCACUGGAACACGGGCCAGACUCCUACGGGAGGCAGCAGUGAGGAAUAUUGGGCAAUGGGCGCAAGCCUGACCCAGCCACGCCGCGUGUGUGAUGAAGGCCUUCGGGUCGUAAAGCACUGUGGGGAGGGACGAAAAAUCUCCGUUCGAAUAGGGCGGAGGCUUGACGGUACCUCCUUAGCAAGCACCGGCUAACUCUGUG
Molecule: ribosomal RNA, 503 nt
Filed under: uncultured bacterium
Lineage: Bacteria
Description: bacterial SSU rRNA
Rfam family: Bacterial small subunit ribosomal RNA
Source: RNAcentral